AACGAACGCUGGCGGCAUGCCUAACACAUGCAAGUCGAACGAGACCUUCGGGUCUAGUGGCGCACGGGUGCGUAACGCAUGGGAACCUGCCCUUAGGUUCGGAAUAACUCCCCGAAAGGGGUGCUAAUACCGGAUAAUGUCUUCGGACCAAAGAUUUAUCGCCUUUGGAUGGGCCCGCGUUGGAUUAGCUAGUUGGUAGGGUAAAAGCCUACCAAGGCGACGAUCCAUAGCUGGUCUGAGAGGAUGAUCAGCCACACUGGGACUGAGACACGGCCCAGACUCCUACGGGAGGCAGCAGUGGGGAAUAUUGGACAAUGGGCGAAAGCCUGAUCCAGCAAUGCCGCGUGAGUGAUGAAGGCCUUAGGGUUGUAAAGCUCUUUUACCCGGGAUGAUAACGACAGUACCGGGAGAAUAAGCUCCGGCUAACUCCGUG
This 433-nucleotide ribosomal RNA is filed under the name uncultured bacterium. RNAcentral describes it as "partial 16S ribosomal RNA". It matches the Rfam family "Bacterial small subunit ribosomal RNA", at positions 29 to 507 of the family's 1533-position model. The record is from RNAcentral.